CGGGUCGUGUUGUCCGAAAUAUCAUUGCUUUAAGGAAAUCAAAUCACACAUUUAGCAUUCAAAGUAAACUGUGAGCAGUAUUGCUUGAGUGACAAUCAGCGCAGUUGAGUGCAGAUGUCCUACUGCAAGGAGCGGAGUGUAUGGAAGAGCAUGACAGGUUUACCUGAAACAAAAAUGCUGUAGAGAAUGUG
Molecule: long non-coding RNA, 191 nt
Organism: Haliotis rubra (blacklip abalone)
Lineage: Eukaryota; Metazoa; Mollusca; Gastropoda; Lepetellida; Haliotidae
Exons: 3
Source: RefSeq, a predicted model, not a curated record